GACGAACGCUGGCGGCGUGCUUAACACAUGCAAGUCGAACGGAAAGGCCCUGCUUUUGUGGGGUGCUCGAGUGGCGAACGGGUGAGUAACACGUGAGUAACCUGCCCUUGACUUUGGGAUAACUUCAGGAAACUGGGGCUAAUACCGGAUAGGAGCUCCUGCUGCAUGGUGGGGGUUGGAAAGUUUCGGCGGUUGGGGAUGGACUCGCGGCUUAUCAGCUUGUUGGGGGGGUAGUGGCUUACCAAGGCUUUGACGGGUAGCCGGCCUGAGAGGGUGACCGGCCACAUUGGGACUGAGAUACGGCCCAGACUCCUACGGGAGGCAGCAGUGGGGAAUAUUGCACAAUGGGCGGAAGCCUGAUGCAGCAACGCCGCGUGCGGGAUGACGGGCUUCGGGUUGUAAACCGCUUUCGCCUGUGACGAAGCGUGAGUGACGGUAAUGGGUAAAGAAGCACCGGCUAACUACGUG
This 468-nucleotide ribosomal RNA is filed under the name uncultured bacterium. RNAcentral describes it as "partial 16S ribosomal RNA". It matches the Rfam family "Bacterial small subunit ribosomal RNA", at positions 28 to 507 of the family's 1533-position model. The record is from RNAcentral.